UUUUUUUUUUUUUUUGAGUUUUAGGUUUUAGUUGAAAAAUGGCAUUCCCUUGUUUGUGGAAUGUUGGGUUCAAAUUUCUCAUGGGUUAUGAUCGUCAGGAUCCUAGAAAUCAUUAGACCUAAUUUGGUUGCAACUUUAUUUGAGUCUUCUGAAGAAAAUAGAGUAGGACAUUUGAAGUUUUACUCGUUUGAUCAGUUGAUUUCUGUUUACAAGGUGAUUUUUAUUUGAUUUGAAGUUUGGAACAUGUUUGAAAUGAUUCCAAAACUUGAUUGAUGACAAACUCAUGUUGUAAAUAUUUUGAAAAUAACUUGUCUACAAGUUAGGCUGAAAAAUAUGCAAAAUCAAUCGGGGGAAGAUGAUGAAUUCGAUUGAUUCCAGCCAAAUUUCGAUAGGAAAGUUGAUCAAGUACCAAAAGGGAGUCUUUUUUUUUAUUUGUAAGGGAUCAAAAUCGCUCAUUUUGAUUUUAAUUAGUAAUAUGUGAGAGAGGAUGGGUGCAAAUUUUUCUUGUAUUUUUGAAUUUGGAAGUUAAAAACCUUAUUAAAUUUGAUUUUUUAUUCCUCCAAUUUGUGUUUUGCAUUUGGAAGUUGUAAAUAUGUCGAAACGACAAUUUGUUGAAAUUGUUUGCUGGAGAAAAAAUCAAGUAGAAAUGAAAGAAAUUAACUUUAUUACCAAUUUUGAGCUAGUUUACAGUUUUAAACAAAUAUUUGUCUGUUCCUGAAUUGUGGAAGUCAAAGCACGAAAACUUCCGCCCUCACCUGGCUUUCGGUUGACCAAUGUUUUUUAAAACCGGACCGGACCGGGCGGUUCGACCGGUUGAACCGCAAAUCGGCCAUGACACCGGUCCGGUUCAAUGACAUUGUUGACUUUGCUAGAAAACCGGUCAAAGAUCGGUUGAACCGUGAAAACCGCCGAACCGGAUUGAACCGACGAUUUUCCCCUUUUUCAGAUUUCCCCUUUUUUUUUUUUUUUAAGUUUUGCAAAAUGCAACAAUCAAGAUUCGAACCCAAGACCUUUGUAAUAAAAGACCAAUGUAUUAAUCGUUGCACCAUCACAUCUUAUUAGUUUUUUUUGAUAACUUAUUUAUAUAAAACAAACACUCAUAUUUCUUUUUUCCAUUUUUCUUACAAAAUCUCAUCCCCUCAUGGCUCUUUCUUUUUAAUUUUCAACUCUCUCUCUCUCUCUCUCUAUCCUCUUUUCUUUUGUCACUCCUUUUUUUAAUCAAACCUCUUUAUUUUUAAUUUAUUGAUGUUUUCUUCCAUCUUUUAAUUUUGUUUUUGUCCAUUAAAUUGAAAAAAGUUAAAAAAGAAUUUUUUUUAACUCAAAUUAUUUAAUGCCACAACCACUCACUUUUAUCUUAUUUUUUGUGUCUUAUCAAGUUUACAUUUCUAUUUUCGAUUUUCUUGAUUUCCUUUGAACUUCAAAUUUUCUUUUUUAAAUUGCAAUCUCUAAAUCCCAAAACGUAAAUUAAAAUUUAAAUUCAUAAUAUCAAAAUUCUCAGAGACAUGAAUUUUGUAUAAUUUCAAAAUAUUGUGAUAUUUUGGGGUUGGAUUUAGAUAUAAUUGAAAUUGAGAUGAAAUUUAUUUGUUUUAACUUAUAAUUUAAAAAAUUUAUUUUUAAAAAUCCAAAUUAUUAAAAAAUAGUAAACUUUUCAUCAUAUAAAAUAUUAAAUUAGUCCAUUACAUGUCUUAUUUUGUACAUAUAUAUAUUUAUAUAAAUUAUUUUAAAAAAAAUUCAUUGAACCGAGGUUGAACCGGUCCGAUCGGUUGAAUCUCGACCCUUUCACUUCACCGGUUCAAUUAACGAUCCGAUUUUUAAAACAUUGCGGUUGACAGGUCAGCAAGCAAAUGUUAUUCAACCCAUGGUCAGUUAGCUGACUGUAUAACAUACGAUAAAGAAACCGUGCCUGUUUAACAAGCCAAAAGGGUGACGUGGCUUUUCAAGAACCACACAACCCAUGGUGGGGUCACCGACCGUGCUCAAGAGUUUGCCCAAAAAAAAAAACUAAAUUUUAACAUAACUUAUUUACUGUAGUCAUCUUAUUGUAAUCGUCUUAGAAAUUAUUGUAACCAAUGAGAAAGCACACCUAAAUUAAGAAAAAAUUAAGCUAUUUUUAUUAAAAUCAAGAGAAAUUAUUAGAUCUUUUUAUGCAAAAAAAAAAAAAUACCAUCUCUUCUCAACCCAAAAAAAAGUUAUUAAAAAUUUCUAAACACGAAAUGUUAUCUUUAAUAAAAUCUUUACAUUUUUCAGGAUAAAAUUUAAAAACCACAAGAUGACACAAAAUUUUAACACUAAAUCGCUCCUCAUGUUUUAUAGGAGUAUAUAAAAAGAUUGUCUUAGGAAAAAAUUUGGUGUAUAAACUACAUCCACUUUACAUUUACCAACUUAUAUUACUUUCUUACUUUACAUCUUUAAUUUUGAAUGAUUUACACUCUAAAUUCUCAUUCUCGACAUUUUGCACUUUAAACUCUCAAGUUUGUCCCAUUUAAAUCUAAUUAAUAACAACAUUAAACCAAUUAACGAAAACAAAAAUUACACAAAUUAAUGACAAUAUGCUAAAAAUUACUAUUAAUUAUACUUACAAUUUGGUUAUACUUUUAGGGGAGAAAUUUGAAUCCAAUAUCAGUAUAUUGUCGUGGUAUAUAUAUAAUUAAAAUUUAUUUAUAAUAUCAUUAUGAUGUCAGUAUAUAAUUAAAAUAUAUUGUAUUUUAUAACAUCAGUAUAAAUUGUCAUACUCCCGAACUAAUCGAUCGAACCAUUAACCCCUGACAAUUGAGCUCUAUCGUGUUGUCAUCCUAUCCGCGUUUCAUAAGACUGGUUUCCCUGCCUAUCCUAGUAGACUGCAAGGUAACGCAAGAAUAAAACACGCAUGCAAUAACAAGACACAUUUGUCUCGUUUUACCGUCUAAAUUUCCUGUCAAACAUAUUUGGGAAAAUGAGCAAAUUAUCAGGAUGAUCACUAAACUUUUGCAAUCGUGAAAUUUUGGCUAAUGAAUUAUUAAAAAUCUGAUUUUGACCAUUCAAAUAUCAAAAAUUAAAAUUCGAGACCACUCCAUUAGGUUUAAUCGUUAAGUAUGUCAGAUCUAACUUUCCGUGCGAUUCCUAUGACAAAACAGAUGGGCAAUUUAGGAAGUUGCACAGACAAUUUAUUUUGUCCAUUUUUUAAGCCAACACUGUACCCACACCUUCCACCGGACCUGGUGCACUCAUUGCGUAUACUAGUAUCCGCCUUCCAUCUGAUGUCGAACCCUUGCCGAAGGACUUGAUCCGAGCCAAUAAAAUUAACGGAUCCUCCAUUACCCAUUUGAAGUACCGGAUAUACCACAACCGCCCUCAAUUUCCAGGACCAACUUCUCCAGGCAAGACAGAGGCAUUAUUGCUUCCAUUGCUCCCACAGGAAAGAACGUUGGGUAAAUUGACUAGACAGCCAUAGAGAGACGUGAUGUUUAUAUAACUCGCGGAGUAAUCAAACAAGGUGUAAUCUAGAGUCAUGUUUACUAAAUCAGUAGGACAAUUGUCCUUCAUCACAUCUUCUCUAGUAACUCUCAAAGUCUGGGUGGUUGGAUGGAUAUCCAAGACCCACUAUGUCAUGUUCUUGAUCUCAAGUCUUGUAACAUUACUGCUCUAAUCGCAUCUUAACUCUAGCCCCGGAUAGCCACGGUAUAUAUGUUGGAUCUUGGUAUCCCCGGAAAGGACAUCCUAUUCCAGCGAUGCUGCCGCAGCUGAAUACAUUCCCACAGGUCUCAUAAAACUCUGCCAGAUUACUUGAAACAGGAUGAAGUUGAAGAAGUAUAGAGGCGAGAAAACAGAGAACAGUGGGGAACGACUGUAAAGGGCUAUGGGAUUUCAUUUAUUUCGGAGGAGAAGAUAUCAUGAGAGAACAGAUUUAUUUUGUAAAGGAAAUCGCUAGCCACCGAUGUAGUUGUUGGAGGGAGUAAAUUUAAGAGUAGUUAGAUCUUGAUAAUCGCACGAGUAGUUAGAACUGUCAUAUAAUUAACGAUUAAAUCUAACAGAAUGGUCUCGAAUAUUAACUUUUGAUAUUUUAAUAGUCAAAACCAAACUUUUAAUAAUUUAGUGGCCAAAACUCGAUGAUUAUAAAAGUUUAAUAGCCAUCCGAAUAAUUUGCUCUUGAGAAAAUGGCAAAUUUAGUCUCUAAUUUGUAGCCAAUUUGAUUCUUAAACUUAUAUUUUGGUUCCAAUCAAGGAACUCAGCAGCAGCGCUACCGCAUAAUUUCCUUUAGGCUCCUAAUCAAGCAAUCUAGAAGAGGUAUUUUAGGAACUUCAAUGCUGGAAUUGUAACAAAAAUUAACCAACAGAUUAGUCUUGUGAAAAAUACCCGAAACCCAAAACAAAAACAGAAAAUUUUCCAAGGCUACCAAAUGGUGCUGGUGGGGUUGCUUCCAUGCUCCAUGGCACUACUUGCAAAUUCUAGCAAAUUCCCUGCUUCAUGGCACUGCUUGCUUCCAUCAUUCUUGAUGAACACAUACCACUUUCCUGUAAGCCGUGAAGCAGCAAUAUUGCCAGCUUGUUUGGAUAGAACAGGACGGAUAGUCAAAUUAAGAAAAUUGGUAUUAAGAUCCAACCAAAGCAAGCCAUGGCAAUCCUCUAAAUCUGCAGGAAUAUUUCGAGAUAACGAGUUGUUUUCGAGCUUUAAAAUCGCAAGAUUUGACCACUAAACUGGUUAUUUGAGAGUGAAAUCCAAUUCAAAUUCGUACAAUUGCUGAGACUAGCAGGGAUUGAUCCAUUCAAAUCAUUGAAAUCAAGAAUCAGAUUUUCUAACCUCUGCAAGUACAUCAGCUCUUGUGGGAUUUCUCCAUAAAGCUGAUUUAACCAAGCAAUCAAAUCACGAAGCUGAGAUAAUGAUUCCAAUCUAGAUGGGAUUGUCCCAGUCAAGUAGUUAAAACUGAGAUCAAGGGAUUCCAACAUGGAACAAUUACUCAAGACUCUCUGGUAUUGAACUAGUGAACAAAUUAUUCUGAAGAUACAACACUUUCAAAUUGUUCCUGGGAUCCUGACAAAUCCCAGAUGAAAUCACCCCAGAGAGAUUGUUAGAACUCACGUCCAAAGUCUCCAAACUGACCAUCUUGGACAAAGAUUCACGUAAAGAACCAAUGAAAUUAUUGAAUGGCAAAGACAAAUUCUUCAAGUUACUCAUCUUCACAAGGGUAUCAACAGGUAAUUCACUAGAAAAUUUAUCGUUUGAAAUAUCAAAUAGUUUCAAAACAGAGCAUGCACCAAAGCUCUCAGGGACGUUACCUGACAAAUUAAUGUAGGACAACACUAACUCCACCAAGCUUGGACAUAAAUCAGACAGGUAAGGUGGUAAAACACCCUGAAAAUCAUUUCCUCCGAGGUACAAAAACCGCAUAACCCCUCCAGCACCACUUGACAGCUUUGAAAAAUUUUUUAUUUUUGUUUUGGAUAUUUCUCACAAGACUUAUCUAUCGAUGAAUUUUUGUUACAAUCUCAACAUCAAAAUUUUUAAAAUACCCCUUCUAGGUUGCUCAAUUAGGAGCUUGAAUGUGGCGUUGCCGAGUCCCUUGAUUGGAACCAAAAUAUAAGUUUAAAAAUCAAUUUGGCUACAAACAAUAUAUAAGGACGAAAUCGACAGAAAAAAAAAAGUUUAAGGACUAAAUUUGCUCUUUUCCCAACAUAUUUAUAACCUUUUUCCAUUUCCUUUUUUAUUUUUAAAAUUCAACUGGAAAAAGGUAGAGUUUAAAUAGCAAAAAAGAACUUUAAAUUUAAGAUUUCUAAAUUCUAGAGUCUCAUACAGAAUGCUUUGAGCAUUACUUUCGAUGGUUGACGGUGUAGCAGGCGCGACGGCCUUUGCGAACGCCCAAAUAGGUGCAACUGCGAGAAAAGUUUUCCCUGCCUAUUUUAGUAGACUACAGGGUGACGCACAAAUGAAGCACGGCAUGAAAAAUACAAGACACAUUUGUCUCAUUUUACCGUCAAAUUCCUUGUCAAACAUAUCUAUGACCUUUUCGAUUUAAUUUUUUUUAAAGCAGAAAAAGGAUAGAAUUUAAGAAAUAUGGAGGAGAAAGGAUGAUUUGAACUCAAAAUUUCUAAAUCACGGGACCUCAAUUUUAGUAACUAUACCCAGAUUUCCUCGAGAACCUGUUCCAUUCACCUCUGGAAGCUUGAAUAACAGCAAUCUAACUUUAACACAAAGCAUAAACUUGACAAUAAAGAGUAACCCACAAUUCAUCUGAAGGUUAGUGUACAAGUAUGCAUGAGAGAGAGAGAGAGAGAGAGAGAGAAAUCCACAAUCCAUCUUGUGUAUAAGAGAGCACGGGCACAAACAUACAAUUGAAACUAUUAGAAGCUAAGCACAAAAAAUACUACAGGAUUUAACCGUUAGCGACAGGAGUUUUCACAGGCAUUCGAUGAUAGAAUGAGCCAACAUAGGCGAAAAGAGCUAGCUCGGAACCGUUAAAACACACAUCCAGCAAUCAACUUAGCCUGUAAAACAAAAGAAAAGUUGAAACAAAGAAAGCAAACAAGCGUCAGUCCCUCACAGAAGUACAGAAUUGAAGGCUAACCAUUCAGUCUACCAAGAAUUCGCCAAGCAUCUCGGAUAGUUACUUUCUGGGUAUGGGCAUCUCAUGGAAGUGAAGAACUAAGAUAGAAUAGGCUGGGGUCGGUGGACCAUUUGUGAUGCAGGAGCACGUUUUACAUUGAAUUUCUUUUUGCUCAGGAUGUCGUUAAUUAUGCUUUAUUGCUUAUUGUUGCAUUAGUUUUAGAAACUAUCUAGUAUAGCUGGUGUACAUGUGCCAGUCACGUGCCCCACCACGGGCAUUGUGGCGUUUUGACCUUUUGGGCAAUUAUGUGUUUGCAAACCUAUGAGCACCCAUCUUACACCACCACAAGAGUUAUUAAGAUCAGUUAUUACCAAAAAGUUGUGCCACCUCUAUCAGGCUGUUGUACUGCAUAGAAGCAAAAUCUACUGCGGCCAGCUAAAUUUCCUCCUAGUUUGGCAGUUAUAGCAGCAAAGUUUUGUUUGGGUAGAGACUACAUGAAAGUACUCUUAUGGUGUACAACAAUAUAUAAUCAACAAAAAAGUGAAGUUUGAUUACAAGAAAUAUAAGAAUUUAUAUGGAGAUUUCAAACGAUUUACAAACCAAAGAAUAAUAUCUCUUCAUCAUGCAGAUUGGAAGAUUAAGCAAAAAAAAUUUUGACAUAUUAGUUUCAAGAUUCCACCGAUUCAUUAGUAAAAGAACCAGUAAGCUAAAAGAAUACUUCCAAGUUUCAGGUACCAAAAGUGAAUGCGGCGAGAUGUAUAUCUUCAUAAUUAAAUUAAGGGAUUAACAAGACGAAUUUAAAUGGCAAUUACCCAGUGCUCUUUAAGAGGAUUGUGCAGGGAUUCAUUAAUCUGAUGGAACUUGAUUAACUCAUCCCUGUAUUGGCCCACCUUAACUACAACAUAGUAAAAGUUGAGCUCCUCAUUUCGAUCUAAUGCCUCCAAGUACAAAACAUAGUAGAGCCCAUCAUCAUUAUUGAAUUUGCUUGCUAACAACACCUCCUCAAGACGAAUUACAUCACCCUGUCACAACCACAGCACCAAAUUUAUAGAAGUAGGUUGGGACAUUAGUGGUCACUCAAGCUUACAAAUUUAGCCGAGUUAAAAUGACACACCCCAUAGAGAGAGAGAGAGAGAGAGAGAGACCUCGUUCUCAUUGUGAGUCCACACAGCGAAUGUAGCAUACUGAUAGACCUGUUCAUAAGCCUUAAUGUCAUGAACAGGGACGACCACAUCACUUGCAGCAGUAGGAAGAUCUAAAGCACCUUUGGGACAGAUAUCAGCAUUCAGCAAAGAUUUCUCCAAGUUAAGAAUUUGCAUGGGUGAAGGAGAUAUAGUGUUCUGACGAAAUACUGAUUUUCUGCGCAAAUGUAACAAUUUACAAAUAUGAUCAGCCAUACACACUGAAAGUGUGAUGGUGCACACGGUAAAAUCACACGUUCAAUGAAAGAAACCAUGCACGUAAUAGCCUGCAUUAAGCUAAAAACAUUCAUGUCAACAAUGGGCAACUACAAAAACAGAAUUUCAUGUUCACAAUGGCAAGAACACAAAAAAUAUAUAAUAUAAUCACAACAAUCUAAUAAUAUUUACCGCUAUCAUGCUGUAUCUUUAUAACUGAGGCUCUUCCUUGGAACUGUUCUAACUACUUGUUGCAUGUGUAACUCAUGCAAUUCUAGUGCUUCUAACAAACGUUCAUAUUUAGGCUUCUAUGGAAAGACAGGAACAAUAGACCAUUUACUGGAGACAGAAGAAUACAGAACGGAUGCACAAAUAAUCAUGGGACACGAUAUUUCAGGAUAACUACUCGAGGAUUACAUAUCCUUUGCUCCUCCUGCAUCAUGGAAUUAACCACAUUCUGAUAUUUUGGCUGCACCACCUUGCCUCUUUAUUAAACAUUCUUCACCAAAAUAUCAUCCAGAAAAGGCAAAUAACAAGCACAUACCCAAAGAGAGAACAUACAAAGGAGGGUUUAUAACAUAUGAAAGGAGAUGACGAAAAGUACCAUGAACAAUAAUAAAUGAGAAGCACGAGCAACACUUACAUCUUGUUCUUCUGGGCUUCGUCCAAGUCCUCAUCCUCUCGUUGUAUCUUUCUCAACAGAAGUGUACUAAAUCUUCUAGCUGCUUCCUGUAGUUGUAGCUCACCCACAUACUGCUUGCUGUAUCUAAGGGCACAAAAGGGAUGACAUACAAUAAACUUCAGUACUUUGCCCAAAAAAAAAAAAACCUUUCCAUUUCUUUAAUCGCCAACAAUACAAACAGAUUCUACGGAAAAAGGAAGCAAGCAAACAUAGUCUUAAGUAGCAACAGUCUAAUAACAAGAUUCAAGCCGGCAACCAAAAAUACCACUUAUGGCAAGCAUUCCAUCUGGCCAUGCUGUCAGGGUUGCUAUAGAUGAAGGGAAAUGGAAUUCAACAAAAAAGGAGAAGAACUGAUAAAGAAAAGACAGAAGUAGAAAAAUUGGAUCAAGUUAGAGUCCAUUGCUAGAUAUGAGCAAGCUGAACUCCAAAUAAUGUUGUAACCCCCUUUUGUUUUGUAGUAAACACGUUCAAAAUCAAUGAAAUGGAUACACCAGCAAAUCAGUCCCAGUCCAAGACUAACUCCUAGCUACUAAACAACUGAUUUCUUAAUAAAAUACACAAACCCUUUUGUGAUUGGGUGGUGCAUGGUAGAAAAGCAAAGGGUUUGUAUGGAUUCUUUUUUUUGGGGAAAAACAUGUAUUCUAAACACAAGUCUACAGCAACACCUUUCAUAACACCCUAGAGACACCUAACACACACCAAAGGAUAACCCAAAAACAUAUACCGACACAUACACAUCAUCAUCCCUUUUCCCUUUACAGCCCUCCCCCUUUGCCACCAGCAGCGCCCAACCCGCUUCAAAAUCCCAGCAACCCCUUCCCCCCACCCUUCCUCCUCCUCCCCCUUCCCUUCAUGACCAGAUUGGGGACCCAACAGUAAGUCAAAAAUUUUUAUAAACACCCCAAAAAAGUUCAAAACUUUAAAAACACCCAAAAUAUACCACAUCAAAAAGGUCUUCAACAAAUACAAAGUUUUCAAAAACACACCCCAAAAACUAUUCAAAACUUUGAAAACACCCAAAUUUUUUUUUUUGAAAAAACACAUGUAGGGUAACCUUACCAAAAACACCCAACAUUUUAUAAAAAUACCCAAAAAAUACAACAAAAAAAGCCUAAAAUACCUAAAAACACCAAAAAAAUACACUUACAAACACAUCACCGCCCUUUCAUCCCUUCCGCCACCUACCCUCCCUCAUCCCCCUUCAUCCUGGCUUCCCUCCUUCCUUCCCCGCGAGCACCCCCCCCCCUCAGCGCGCCUAACAUUUUUAUAUAAAUAUAAACUUACAAACACACUUACCAAAAACACCCAACAUUUUUAUAAAAUACCCAAAAAAUCCUAAAAUACCUAAAACCACCAAAAAAAAAACAUACACUUACAAACACAUCACCACCCUUUCAUCCCUUCCACCACCUACCCUCCCUCAUCCCCCUUCCUGCUGGCUUUCCUCCUCCUUCCUUCCUUCAGCACCCCUCCCCUCCCAGCCCUAUUCCCUCGCCAAUGUGGACAGAACAUAUCAGGACCACAUCUGUCCAGAUUAGGUGUGAAAAGGGAAGAGUGAUGGAGAAGGGGCCUUUUUUUGGGGUUUUGGAGAAGGGACAUUUUUUUGUGUUUUGGCUUUUUUUUUUUUGGGAGGGUGGGUGGGCACCAUCUUUAAAGACAUUCCCAGAACACCACAUCUAAUGAUUUUAUGAAACACACCUAUAUUUCAAGUUUUACAUCUCAGAAAAACCCAUCCAAACAGACCUUUAUUUUUUCCCUUUUUGUGUUUCUAACACGCUAAUACACCCUGAGAUGCAGCUUACCUAGAUUAGUAAAACAUGGAUGAGUCCCAUAGUCCAAACUGAUUGAACACAUUUGUCUGGCCAAUUAAAAGUUAAAAGAUGCACAACUUUGACACUACUUAUGCUUGACCAAGUACCUAAUUAAGCUAACUUAAUGCUAUGAGAAAACCACUAGUUCGUAGAAUCAGCAAAGUGAAAAAAUGUAGUAUCCCACUACAAGAAGGUAAAAGCAAACCAAGUACAUAACAAGAAAAAAGAUCAAAAUUUGCUUGGAAAGCAAAAAAAGAAACAACUAUGGAAUAUUGGCACCAUAAACCCAUUUAAGCAAGGAUUUCAACUAAUCAAGUCUACAUGUUAUGCAAAGUCUACAUGUUAUGCAAAUGCACAAUUCACUAGAAUUUAGACAUUGGCCAAGGAAUCCUCUUUUUUUUUUUCACAGGAAACACCAUAGUAAAUGUAACAGGGACUUAAAUGUCCAUAUUAUUUGUCUCGACAAUGCAAGAAAAGGAUUGAAAAAAAAAUACUUAGAAACACAUUUAUCAAAUUUAUACAGGAAAAACACUUUCCUUGGACCAUUUUCAAUCACAAAUACCAAAAGGACAGAAGCCACUAUCCAAUUCUCUAGUUGUAGCUCUCGACUACAGAACAUGAAAGUAGAGAAUACUUUCUCAAAGUAGUAAAUGGAUAAAUCUUCUCAUAGACCACACACUAGUCCAUGAACUGCAUCUUAAAAUGAUUUAUAGGCAAGUAAAUGAAGCUAAUGGUUGUUUUCACCUCUUUAUACCUUCUCCUUAGAAAUCAAUUACAGCUCUCAAAACUCGAUUAGCCUUAAUCUCGCUAACACUGAUAUCUUUUGGUUGCAUCAAAAACACAAAGUUUGCCAUUUGACAUAGCUGCUCAACCCGCAUGCAAUAACCAAGAAAUGGAAGACAUCCAUAAGAUGGCAGUAUUAUUGUUAUAUGAAUUAGCCUCAAAAUGAUUAUGUAAAAUUGAUGCUGCAAACAUUGACUUCAAAGGAAAUUACCUUUUUCUUUUAUCAAGUCUCCUAAAACUCUGUUUUUGGGUACCAUUUGCUCAGUAAUUAAGUUUCACUAGUAUAUUUCUUAUGAACGUAACACAAAUCGGUGCCCAUAGCACCGCCUAACACUAACAAAAGUUAAAGCAUUUCUGUUAACUUGACUUCUAAAACACAAGCAGCAUUUAUAAUUUUCUCUAAACAACAUCUUCCAAGAUUUCAGCCUAUUAUGUGUCAAUCACAUGCUGAAACGCUAGUCACGUGUAAGAUUUUUCUGCAAAUGUUUCAGAUUUCCAUGUUGUUCCUUCUUUCCCAGGCAAUAUACCUUUUGCUUGCAUUUCUACCAUAAUGGGAGCAACCCUCAUACCAAGGGCGGAUUUUAGGUGGGGACACUGGGGGCACGGGCCCCCACUGUCCCCCUUAAAUUCCUAUAAUACUUUUAUAAUUUUAAUAUAAUUUUAAGUGUGCCCCCAGAGUUUUCUUAAAAAAGAUGUGAAAGAAUUACGUGAUUUUUUAAGUUAGUUCAUAAACUAAAAUUCUAAAAAGAUACGUAGGGCACAAAUUCCAUUUGAAAUAAGUUACAAAAAAUCUUUUCAUUUCAACUAGCAAGUACCAAUCAUAUCAUUCACUUUCUUUGGGCUCCACUCUCCAAUUUUCCUUCCCUCCUCUGGGCCCCCAUUUUUCCCCCCACAACCGAGAGCCACUACCUUCCACUACCAAGCAGCUAGCUACUCUUUCUCUUGAUCAAUUCAUCCAAUCAUAUCAUUCAUUUCCUUUAUCCCCACUUCCCAAUUUCCCUUCCCUCCACUGGUCCCCCAUUUUCCCUCCACAACCGAGAGCCAUUCUUACUUCCACAACCAAAUUAGUUAUCAAAAUAUAAAAACUUCCAGUGAGCAAUUGUAAAUAGUUUAGUUUAUUUUUGAAAUAAAAUUAUUAUUACAUUAAUAAUUUUGAAUUUAUCUUUUUAUGUUUUUCAUGGAAUAUAUGCAUCAUUUGUACUUGUUGGUGAAAUUUUUUUUUUUUGCCUAAAAAACUAGAAAAAGAGUAGGUAAAAAAUUUUAGGUGGCGUUUGAUUCGCACAUCGGAUUUGGAUUCGGAAUCGUCCUUGGUUUGGAAUGCUGUCAUUCAUUCCAAUAUAUUUGUUUGGUUCAAGUACCUGGAAUGUGUAUCAUUACUAUAGUUGAUGUUUGGUUCGUCGACUCUUUCGGAAUGAAUAUAAUAAAUAUAUUAUAAAUCACAUUGUAAAUGAUAGUUAUUAGCUCUUUGUAAAUGAGAUAUAAGAAAUUUUCACUAAUUAAAUAUAUUAGUAUAAAUGUAUUAGUAAAUUUAGUCUAAUUAAUUAAUAAUUUCUAUUAGUAAACAUGUAUAAUUAUUAGUAUAAUUGAUAAUAUUAAUUAUAUUACAUAAAUUAAUAUACAUUAUAUAAUACAUAUAACUAAUAAUAUUAUUAUUAUAAGUUUGUAACUAAUUAAAUUAAAUAUUAUAUAUAUAAUUAAAUAUAAAUAUACAAAUUUUAUAAUAAAAAUAUAAUUAUCUAAUAUAUACAAAUAUUAAUUAUACUAAUAUUUUAUAUAAAUAUAAUAUAUAUUACAUAUUAAAUAUAGUUAUUAUUAUAUAUUAUUAUAUUUAAAAUAAUAAUUAUAUAACUUAUUAAUACUACAUACAUGCAUAUAUUAUAAUUAUAUGCACAUAUAAUAUACAUUUAUAAAUAUACAUAUAUAUCAUAAAUAUAAUAUUAUAUAAUAUUAAUAAACUUAUAAUAUAUAUUAUAUAAGUAUAAUUAUAUUUAACUAAAUAAUUAUAAUAUAUAAUUAUAUAAUAUAAUAAUAUCAUUAUUAUAAGUUUGUAACUAAUUAAAUUAAAUAUUAUAUAUAAUUAAUUAUAAUUAUACAACUGUUAUAAUAUAAAUAUAUAAUUAUAAAUAUAUAAUAUAUAAAUAUUAAUUGUACUAAUAUUUUAUAUAAAUAUAAUGCAUAUUAAUACUAGAUAUAGUAAUUAUUACAUAUUAUUAUAUUUAAAAUAAUAAAUAUAAAUAUAAUUAUAUAAUUUAUUAAUAUUAUAUACAUGUAUAUAUUAUAAUCAUAUGCACAUAUAAAAUGCAUUUAUAAAUAUACAUAUAUAUUAUAGAUAUAUUAUUAUAUAAUAUUAAUAAAUUUAUAAUAUAUAUGAUAUAAAUAUAAUUAUAUUUAACUAAAUAAUUAUAAUAUAUAUUUAUAUAAUAUACUAAUAUUAUAAUAAAAUAUUAUAAUUAUAAUAUAUUAUAAUAUAUAUAUAAUAUAUAUUACAUAUAUAUAAAUAUUAAUUAUACUAAAUAUUAUGUAAUCGGUAAAGAUUUUGGAAUCACACUUGGGUUUUGGACAAAACCCACCAUUUUACUAAGGAAUGGAAGGAUGUCAAGUUUUUAGAAAUCAUUCCAAAAUUUCAAUUCCCAUUCCAGUGAACCAAACACCAACUAUAGAGUUUAUUCUAUUCCUUCAUUCCGAUACCCUUUUACCAAACGCCCCUUAGUGUUAUUUUUGCCCCCACUAAGAAUUUUUUCUGGCUCCCCCCCUGCCUCACACUUGUGUUUGAUCACUGGUCAGACAUACCCUCACACACACACGCACACACAUGCACACACGGAGUUGAAUUAAAAAGCAGCAAGGGAGAAAAAGAAGGUAGAGAUUCCAGCUGAGAAAAAUGUGGAGCAGCAAACUCUACACGUAGAAUGCAAUAAAUUAACUCAGCAGCCAAGAGUCAAAACCAGAAGCAGCAAACUCUAGGAUUUUCCAGCAUUUUGCAUUUUAGAAAAGUGACGAUUUUGCAAAAAGUUUAAGCAAUAUGAGUAGACGCGUGUCUGCACAAGGAAAAGGCAAAUUAGAUGGUAUCAAUCAACGCUUAAGUGCAGCCCAACUCUUACUCAAAUCCAAGAAAACAAGUUCUGUCGCACAAAUCCUCUUAAAGGCUACCUAAGUUGGCAUUUUCAACCCGAACUACAAAAUGAAAACUGAAACAAACUCACUCUCAAUUGCAAAAAGUUCAUCAAAACCUCUCCAUUAGUUUCGUGAUGAGUAUUCCCAAUUUAAAGAUUAAAAGAAAAUGUCUUUAUUUGGAGACUACAACCAAAAGCACUCCAGUAUCGAUUUCACCCUAAAAGUCGAGAUGCAUGCAUACCUUAUUUCUUGAAAACGGUAAGAGAAGGAUUCAUUGACGAGCUGCCACUCGACCAAACGCUUGAUAUUUUUCAAGUGGCUAUUCUCCACUUCAGCAUAGUACACAUUCAGGUCACCUAGCUCGUCAACUGCCUCUAAGGUUAUGUAAUAAAAUAUGCUCAUGCCAACCCUUCUGGAGCUUGCUCUGACAACCCUUACAAACCGAACAGUAUCGCCACCUCCCUGACAUGUCGGCGCAUACAUGCAUUACAAAACCAUUAAAGCGUGAUAGUGCUAGGUGAUUUGAGGGGUCCCAGAAAAGAGAACACCAAAAUAAAAUCUCUCUUUUUUUUUUUUCCUUCAGUGACUUUAAAAAGGGCUAAAAAAAAACCUGGUCCUCAUUGUGCUUCUUCACCGCAAACUGGGCAAAUGGUGAGACCCGGUCGUUACUGACAGGAAUAACACAAUGAAACUGAAGGCAGUGCACCGUCUCUUCUGGCGGAGGGGGCGGUAGAAAGUAGUGACGGCAGGACUGUUUUGAGGACGGAAACCGACGGAGAUGAUUCUGGUCAAGGAUGAAGCCGCCGGUCAUACCACUGCCUAUCGCACCCAAAAAUCCUAAUUUACAUUUCAGUACAAGUUGAUACCCCAAUCCCCAAGGUUUAGCUCUCCCCAGAGCUACUCGAAGCGCCAUUGAUUUCACCCCCAAUCUUGUAUUCGUAGAUCAAGAGCAACACCAAUCCCUAGCAGCCGCCGCUCCUAUGACUCCUUAGUCAUUACUAUGGUAGAGUCUACUGUCUAAGCAAACUAAUUGGGCUGUAGUUGUGCGAUGUUUGGGUUGGUUGUAUAUGAAUGUGGAUUGAAAUGCUUUCGAAUUAUCAUUUGCUAAACGGACGCCCGUAAAUACAUACAAGCGCCGUACCCCACAAAAAAAAAAAAAAAAAACUGCUAUAACACGAUACAUACGUUACUUGUGAAAUCCAAAUUGACUGUUUGGAUAAGAAUUUAUUUUGCAUGAUUUAUUUGAGAUUUGAGAUAAUUACUGUAGCACUUUUUAUGAUGUGAUGUAUGUGAGAUAAAAAGAUGGUUGGAAAGAUAAAAAGGUAGUUGAAAUUUGUGAAGUAAAUUUUUUUAUUUGAAAUCAAGCCAAUCCAAACAAACGCCCCGAGCUUCGUCCCCAAGUUGGCCUCAAGAGUUACCAUCGUGGCUUUUGAGGUUAAUUUGAGAUUAGAUUUAACUACUAAUUCUUAAAAUUUCUGAUAAAAAGAAAAAAAAACGUAGAGGAAGUAUUUGGGAUUUUUGAGUGUUAAUUAAUAUCUAGCAGCAGCUUCCCUACUAAUUUUCCCGCAUGCCCACAUCGAUGUAAGGGGGUUUGGGGAUUGGGUAGAUAAAUCCCCAAGUUGACCUCAGGAGUUACCACCGUAGCUUUUGAGGUUAAUAUGAGAUUAGGUUUAACUACUAAUUCUUAAAAUUUCUGAAAAAAAAAAAAAGAAAGAUGUUGCCGAGCUUCCAUGAGCGCUAUUUGCAUGAUCGCAUCCAUUAUUUGGAAAUUGGAAAAGAACUUUUGUUUGGAUUACUUCACGGCUACAACAAAAUCGUUUGAGGCAUGUGCAGGGGCAUCAUGUAGGCGUGUAGUUUGCCCCUUUACUCCUCAGAGAGGAUGUACAGGGACAAAUUCGACAGGAUGUACAGGGACAAAACAAGCAAUAACACAAUACUGAAAACCGGAACUAGACUCUUAGGCCCUGUUUGGAAGCUUGGUUUUUUACCAAGUUUGUAUAAAACUAAUUUUUUUAAUAACUUUUGCUAUAGAAACCCCAAAAAAUUUAUCAAGAUUUUUAACCUACACAUUUAAAAUAUCCAAAACACAAAAAAAAAAAAUUCCCUUUCCCUUUUCUUUUUCUUCCUCCACCACCACCACCUCCAUUGCCGGCUCCGUCACCAAUUUCCGGUGCCGGUCUUUUUUUUUCCCCCUUUUAUUCCCUCUCCCCCUCUUCCUCCCCUGCCAUCAUCCUUUCUUGUCUUUUUUUUUUCUCUCUACGUCCGGUGCAGAGGGGGGUGGCGUAGAGGGGGGCGGCGAGGAGGGCAGAAGGAGGUAGGGGCGGCGGGGGGAAGGGGCAAAGGGGACGGCGCAGAGGGGGACGGCGGGGGAGAGAGGGAAGGCGGGGGAAGGGGAAGGGGCAGAGGGGGGCGGCGGGAGGUGGAGUUGCUGCUUGGGGGUGGCGGAGGUAACGGGGAAGAAGAAGAAGAAGAAGGAAAAAAAAAAGAGAGGAAAGAAAAGAAAAAGGAAAGAAAGAAAAAGAAAAAGAAAAAGAAAAAUAAAGGGAAAGAGAAAAAAAAAGAAAAGGAAAAAAAAAAGUUUUUCACCUUACAAAAACUUCUACAAAAUUUUUUCAAAAACUUCUACAGUGCACUACAGUAAAAUUUUAGACAAACUCCCAAAAACUCAGGUUCCAAACAGGCCCUUAAUGAAUACUAUAUGUUUUUAAUCUCAAAAUUGUGAUGCUUACAUCUCUCUUAAAUAUGCGCCUGAAACGGAGGAUUUUAAGCAGGGAUAAUUUCAUAAACCUCCCCUGAGGUUUUACAAAAUAUCACCUAGUUCCCUUGAAAUUUUUAAAAUCUCACUUAGCACUCCUUGAAUUGAUAUUUUGGUAAUAUUGGAAGUCCUUCUAACCAAAAGUAAUAUUAAAAAAUUCAUGUUUGAGGAGAGAGAUUAUUUUAGUGCCUUUAAUACCCUUAGGCUAUAAAAAAUGAACAUUUUACAAAUCAAGGAAAAAAAGUACUAAAUUGGAACCACCUUAAAAGUGAGGAGAUGAAAAUUAGUAAGAUUUUAUGUUACAGUCAAUAGUCACUUCUACAGUAGGAAGAGAUAGUAAAAGUAAAUACUAUUUUUUGAACCAUUUCUACAAAUAGAACCUUUCAUAGUGUUUAAGGUAAUUAGCAUGUAAAUCAUACAUUUGAGCAAAAAAAACUUAGUAAUAGAUGAAAUUCAACUUCAAUAUCAUACAAAAAAUUUACUCAAAAUAGACAGUUUUUUUAUGGGUAUGAAAUAUGAAAAUUUUAUUAUAGAAAAAGUCAGAAUUUGAAAAACUAUUUAGAGUUUCAAUAACUUUAUUUCUCUUGCGCUCUACAUGAAUAUGAAUAAAUAAAUAAAUAAAUAAAAUUAUGAAACACCGAAAAAGGGAAAAAAUAAAAAGAACCUGCAGCUAUUCUUCUUCAAAUGCAUUGAAUAUUUCAUUGAUUAAAUCCUAUAUUUCAUUGACACUUGCAAUUCAAUUAUACACACACACACACAUACACACACACACAUAUAUAUAUAUGUAUGUAUGAAUGUUUGUAUAGACAUUGUUAAAGAAAAAUAGGAAAUUUAGAGAAAGAAAAACAAGUUCAUAAAAUUUAAAUAUAUGAGGGUAUUAUUGACAAUUCAUCACUUUUGAUAUUAGUAUAUGACCCUACUAUCACUUCACGGGUACUAAAUGAGAUUUUGAAAAGUUUAGGGGAGGUAGGUGAUAUUUUAUAAAACCUCAAGUGAGGUUUCUAAACUUAUCCCUUUUAAGCAUUCUCAAGUGAUAGAGCCAGCACAUUCAGUCCAAAUAACAAAUCCAAUAAACCAGAAUUCAAGAAUCCGACAAGAAUAUGUCAAAGACAAAGUUCCAGAAGUUAUCUUCUUCGUAGCAAUGAAAAAAAGUGUAAAAGAAACAUUUGCUGGGUGGGGUGAAUCCAGCUAGGCUUAACUGACACUUUGGGAACAUCAUCAAAUGAUUUUGCAUACACCUUAUAGCCUUCUUUCCAGUCAAAUUUAACAAAUCAAAUUAGAUAAUCAACACACCAAAAAAAUUCAAAGAAGACUUGCAAAUAUAAAAUUCACCUACACGAUCGGAAGCAAUGACCGGUCCCAACUCCCAACCUACACACGGUUGAUGAAUAUAUCCGCAUCCUCGAAAACCCCAAUUCUUUUUUGAAUGAGAAAUGACACCUCCCCAUUAGAAAAGUAUCAGUCAAUAGCAACCACAGCCUGGGCACUUCUUAUUAAUUUUCCCUUGAAUCACGCUCAAAUGGUCUAAAGCCAUGUCAUUCUUAAAUAUACCCUGAUAAGAUGCACGUGAUACUUAUAUCUUAAUCUGCCAUUGAAAUAAUAAUCAAAUUGAUACUUUUUUUUUUUACUUACCCGUGUAUAACAGUAAAAGGAAUCGGAAACUAAUAUUACAAUUAUAAUUGGCUGGCAAAGAAUGAAGGAAGCUAAAUCAUUUGGUUCCAUGUCCGUCAGGUGAUAUGCUUGGACAAUGCUAGCCCUUCUCCCAUCCUAUAAUUAUAUCAAUAUCAAUUUUAUAUGAAGAGUCCUACAAUUAUAUCAAUAUCAAUUAUAUAUGAAGAUAAGAUGCAAAAAAAUCAUAUAUCUAAAACCAGAUAUCAGGAUAAGAGAUGAUGUCAAGUACAUGAAGCAACAUGGUAAAGUAAUUUUUGCCAGGAAGUAUACUAUACACCAAGUUUCAAUCGAAUUUCUGUUCUAUAAGAUAUUCAAUGAUCAUGGGUUGUGAUUUUUGUAUGAUUAGAAUAAAAAUGACCUUUCUCCAAUUGAAACAAAAAUAAAUGAUUGAAAUGAAUUUUUGCGUGUGGCUGUCCAAUAACUAUAGCUCUUUAGAUUGAAGUUUUGUUCAUUUUAUCCUAUUUUGUGAAAAUUAUUCUCCAAAUAAUAAUAAUAAUAUUAUAAUAAACAUACUAGUUUUCCCAUCCUAUAGUCAUCCCACAACACCAACCCUCCAUCCAUCAUAGCCCAUGGCAUUGCCUCGAAAUGAUUCAUAAAUAAUCGAGUUUUACUCCCAUCUUUAGUGUAUUUUUUAGGGUUAAUUUCACAUAUCUCACCAAGACGCUCACCAAAGUGAAUUUGGCGAGCAAAUUCGACUGCAGUAGUAAUAACAUUGGGAUCACAUGUUCUUAUUUAAAAAACACAGCAAACACUAUAUGAGAUUUACAUUGUAUUUUUUAGGGUUAAUUUCACAUACCUCCCCUGAGGUUUUUAACCAUUGCAGAAAACUUCCCUCAAUUUCUAAAAAUUAUACCUACCUCCCCUAUUUUCACUAUUUAAGUAACAUUUUAGACCCAAAAGGUUAUACUUUUUUCCAAAAUUCCUAUAAUGCCCUUUAGUUAUAAUUCACAACAAAAAUGUAAAGGAAAAAAAAUAGUUUACAGUUUCUAUCCAUUUAUAUUUAUUUUUUACCACUAUUACCUACUUAUCAACAUCUAAAUCACCACUAAAUAAACACUUAUUUUUGUUCUAAUGUUCCGCUUUUACCUAAAAAAUUCUGAUGCAAACCAUUGUAUAAACUAUAAACGCUACAUCAUAUAUCCAAAAAUUUACCUACAAUAUCAUAUUUUACUUAAUAUACUACAAUAUUCAUCAAUAUUUUAAAAUUUCAAUUCCAUGGUUGCUACCUUUUUAAUACAAAAUAAUCUAAACAAUCACUACUAAUAUCAGUAUCCAAUAUAUUAUAUUGGCACAGAGUUCAAAAUCUAUCAAAUUUUCUCUAUAGGAAUAAUAUCAAUAAUUGUAAAUAAAAAAAAUAGAAACACAAUGCAGUUAUAAAUAUAUAUCAAAAAUAUUUUUUUUCAUUAUAACCAUAACAGUAUAACCUAUAUUUAGUUUCUAUUCCAUUUCUUUCCUUAAUUUUUAUUCUUUAUCACUGUCACUAUCUUCAUCUCCCUCUAAUUUGAUGAUGAAAUUAACACUCAAUUUGUCAUUUGACAAUUUCAAUUUGUUAAUAUCUAUCAAAAAUUGGAAACAAAAAUGGGUGCAAGGAAAUUAUUUACUAAUAAUGGAAAAUCAAGAAUUGGGAAUAGAUACCAAGAUAUAUAAAUAUUGGUGGUUUAAUGUGUAUGGCGAUUUUAUUAUUAGCGACAAUACAUAUUUGGUUGAUAAUAAUAAAUAAAUGACUUUAAAAGAAAAAUAUAUAUAUGAGGAAAAGAAUAAAUAGUUAAAUAGAAAAAACAGUGGUUUGAAUUAUUGGUUAAUAAUAGAUGAGAGAGUUUUAAUAUUUGAUAGAGUUUUUCAAUGAGUUGACAAUUAAUAAAAGGCAUUAUUGUCUCUUUAUCACAACAAGGGAGGUCUCUGUAAUUAUGUAAACUUCAAGGGAGUCGAGUGAAAUUGUCGAAAACUUCAGGGAGGUUUCUUAAAUUAUCCCUAUUUUUUAUAUGAAAACCAUUGCAUAAUAACCCAUAGAUUGUAAAAAUUGUAAAAUUCUCAUGACGUGUAUUGUUUAGACAAUUGGCAAAUUACACCUACAUCUAACCUAUUAUAUAUAAUUUUUAUUGAUACAAGAAUUAAUGACUAACCUAUACUCACUGAUUUAUAACUUACCACCAAUCUGCCGUCUAAUUGGAGAUGACACACCGUGAUCAUGCCAUGAAAAGUGUUGGUCAUCAGUAGGAAUAAAAUUGCCACGAAUAAACUGAGAAUAAGAAAAAAAAAAUUACGUAAUGUAAGAUAGACUAAAUGCAAUAUUGGAGAGCAAAUCUAGUGUAAGUAUUUACUUGUAUCUUUAUUGACUUUGUUCAGAAAUUCCAGUGAUUUAUUUCCUAAGCACAGAAUCUUCAACAAUGUACAUUUUUGAGUGAUUAUAAUUGCAAAAACAAUCUAAAAAUGUUGACGAUGAUAGUAACUUGUUACAUUAGAGUUUAAGUUAUGACAUACAAAGUAUUAUGCUGUGACACAAAUUUUGACUGCAAUCCAGCCAUUUAGAUGUCUUACCCCACUCGUGCUGUAGCAGCGGGAGCCAGUCCAACCAUGGGAGUUUAUCCUUUCAGCAGGCUUUGAAACCAGCUGUGCAGUCAUCUAAACGAAUAAAAGUAAAAGUAUUAUUAAUUCAACAAGUUCAUCCAUGAUAAAUUAAAAGUACGAAACAAAGACAAAAGGUACAACUACUAAAAAUCUGAAAUUUUUAAAAAUUGAAAACAAAUGCAUCAAAUCAGAGGAGUUAAUCCUUCUCGCAGGCUCUGAAGCCAAUCGUGCAGACAUCUAUACGAAUAAAAGUCAAAGAAAGUAAACAACUUGAUUCAUCAUUCAAGGUGAACUUUAAUACAACAGAAAUAGUUCAACAAGUUCAUUCAUGAUCAAGGUGAACUUUAAUACAACAGAAAUAGUUCAACAAGUUCAUUCAUGACAAACUAAAAGCAUCAAACAAUGUUAAAAAAUGUACUACUACUGAGAAUCUAAAGUUGGAAAAAAAAAGCAUUAACUAAAAGUUUAAGAAUAUCAUUUAAGAAUACACAUGAAAAUUUGCAAAAUUUACACGAAUCAAUUUUACUUCCAAUCUAUAAUUAAAGUGCCCUCUAGUACACUCUAGAAUGUGGAAAACAAGUAGUACAAUCAAUCAUACUCCUUAUAAAAAGUUUCUUAGAGAAGCUUGCCAUUCAACAAUUGAUUGCAUUAACAGCGCUAUACCUAGAGAGACACUGCAAAUGAACAGGAUAUACGAAUGAAUGUAGAAGAUAUAUCUAGUAAAAGAAACAAUCAGUGAACAAUGUAGAACGAUAAAGCCAUAAAUUGGUAUCUAAUGUAUCAUACUCAAACUCCAAGAAGAAGCUGUGAGGAUGAUAAAACUUCAUUAAUGGUAAAUAUCACAAAAUCAAUUGAUUUAGGUAGGAUUUGUAAUACUAUUAACCAUAUACCUAAGCAGAUCUAUGCACCAAACCAGGUAAUUUCUUGAGAAUGUAAGCCAUCUUACCUACAUGCAAUAAAUUAACACGGUUAACUUUUGCAAUCAACUAAAGUUACAGUAGUCUCUUUUCAUUUCUGUUUACAAGGAAGUUACAGUCUUUUCUGCUGACAAUCUUUACUUUUCAGCUGUUAGUCAUCUUACGAUUCACAGGGGAUGGAUCCAUAAGGAUUAACUUAUCCCAAUCACAAAAAGACGGAUUUAUUGAUCCUCAAAAUUAAGCUAUUUUCUAUUGGAUAGACCAAUAUAGAGCUUUGAACAAGAUAUCAACACAUUCUAGCCACAUUGACAAAUUGAACAGAGCGUCCCUGCAAGCAUCCAAUUAUGCACUCCAUUACUUGCUCCUAACUUUGCUUUUGACCACCAUGAACACGUAAAUGCAUGCAUAUUCACCAACAUAUAGAGAGAGAGAGAGAGCAAGGACACAACAAUUGGCAAUGACAAGCAUAAUCGAAGAACUCGCAGACAGCAAUAAUGACCAUCACAAAGAAAAGGACUCAUUCAAGAAUCAAGAACAAAGAAAAGACCGACACUUGCAAUGAUGCGUUUGGAGGAGCCUGAAUUCAAAUUGAAGUAUAAUUAAUUAGUACUACUUAGGAAAUGGACUGGAUAGAAAUAAAUAAAUUUGUACCGGAGGGUUGACCAAAACCUAUCCGCUAUAGUGUAGAGGUUUUAAUCCACAAUUAUUUAAGGGGAAACAAGUUAAGCGUUAAAAUUGCAUAAUCUGGGGGUCGAUAAAAUUCCGAGAAGUUUGUUUUGCAAGUUUAUCAAAUUCAAUCCAAUCUUUUCCAGCUCAAUUGCAUUUCUAGGGUUCUUUCUUUCUUAUUUGUCAUUUUCCUUUUCUUUUGGGGAAUCUAAAAGCCCAAAAAAAAAGAAGAGGGCACGAAAAUAAGUACUAUAACCACUGGGCCAAUGGUUCAGUGCCCACCAGGGAGGGACUUAAGUCACUCCUUGGGCUGUAGGUUGAGGGUUCAAACCUCACCUGCAGCGAAAAAAAUCUAAGAAUUGUGCCAUAACACUCCCUUGGUCUAGUUGGAUCUGUAUAUCCACUAACCCCCAUCACAGCCUCUUUAGGCUCCCCCUUCCCCUAGAUUAGGAUAGAGUAGGUUAUACAAAUGUAUCGAAAAAAAAAAAAGAAAAGAAAAUAAGUACUAUAUUGGACCCGACCCGUAUUCAAAUCUGCACCUCCCUAAACUCCGCGAGCAGAGCUCUGUCCCAGUUUACAACACAAGUCCCCAAAACCUAAUCGUAUCCACGAACUCUUCACUCUUUUACCCUGAAUAUCCCUGACCCAUCCCUGCAGAAACGAAUCAGGGAGAGAGUCGGCGGCCAGGACCCUAGAAGGCGAUGGAUCGGAGACGCCGGGAUUCUGAUCACGAUCGAGACCCCCACAAACAUCACCGAAGUUCUAAAGAUAAGUCCAGAGACGCAGCCGAUGACGACCGCCGCCACCACAGUCAUCGUCGUUCAAAGCACCGCGAUGAAGAUGAUGACCGGAAUAGAUCCGAACGGAGAUCGUCGCGAGAGUAUUCUUUGGAUAGAGAUAAGUCAGUUGAGCCGAGGAAUGAGGAGAGGUCUGAUGAUCGCCGUAAGCGGGAGAAGUCCUAUGAGAGGGAGGAUUCAGUGGAGAGGAAGCACACUAAGAGGAAAGAGAGAGGGGAGAGUGAGGAGUAUGGGGAGAGAGAUUAUGAUGGAGGAACCAAAAGAACUAGGGUUUUGGAGGAGAGGAAGGAGAAGAGAAGGCUUGAGGACGAUAUGAAUGGAAGAGAGAAAGAAGAGAAGAAAGAGCGGCGGAGAUUCGAGGAUGCUGUAGAAGGGAAGGAAGGUAGGGAGGAAAGGAGAGAGAGGAGGAGGUUUGAGGAUAAGGUGAAGAAAGAGCAAGAAGGGAUGGAAGUUGAAAGGAUAGAAGGGAGGUUUGAAGAGAGAGUUGGAAAGAAAGAGCCGAAAGAUGAGCUCCCCGAUAAUGGCGAUCUCGGUGCUGGUGAUUCUGUUGCUAACGUAAGUUCCCUCCCUUCUUUACACCUUAUCUUGCACUGAUGCGUUUGCUUUGUUACUACUGCCUGAGUGGUGUUGUUUUAUGAUUGUAGUCCCUGGUUUUAUUUGGAACAUGUAUGCUGAAUUGAGUUUCGAGUUUUUUGGACUUUUGGUGUUGAAUAUGUGAAUCGUGAUCUUCUAUCUUAUGGUUUUCAAUGAAGAUAUGUUUGUUGCUCAUCUUAAAAUAGCUAAAAGAAUUAUAAAAUUAUUUAUUGUAAUUGGAUAUCACUGGUGCAUGGGUAUGGGUGUUUAAUCUUAUAGGCCUUCUGUUCUAGAAAUCCAUAGCAAGUUUGAGUAGCAAACUUUUUGAAACUUGAUGAAAUCCAUAAUUAUGUGCUUAAUGUGAAUGUAAAGGUGUGCUCGUGGAGAUGGACUUGUUUUAUUUUGGGUAUCUGGUUGAUAAUGUCUGCCUUUUCACUACAUCUUCACGCUGUACUCUACUAAUUACAAGUUUGGAAAGCCUCUUUGUGAGUGACGCCAUCCAUCUGAAUUUUAGGCUUGAUUUAGGAAAUGACUUAGUGUUAACUCCUUCAAUCAGAAAAGAGAGAAAAUGGAAGAGAUUUCCCAUUUAUUGACUGUUAAAUUAGCCCAAAAUGUGGUGGAGGAAAUGAUUGAGUUGCUGCUAGUGAAUUUACUCCUGUGAAUUUUGUUAAUCUGAUUUAUGUCCGUUUCCCAACUCUCGUAGCAUCUAGUCUUUCCUCUGCAACAUCAGCUGCUUUCUCUUUCUUAUUAAGAUCUAGUGUAUCCAACCUAAUAAAAGUGAGGAGCGAGAGAUGAUCGGGUCUCCAUAGAUUGCUAGUAAAACAAAACUGAUCCUGGAACAUUUUUCGUUGGCUCUCAACCUGGACUUCUCGAAAAAUAGCUAGUGUCAUUAGCUAAGAUUUAUUACUGUGCUCACUUAGCAGAAAAGCAAAAGAUUGUGAUGGUGGUGUAAGAAGGUCUUUGUAAUGACUGUGAAGGAUGGUAGACAAGCUGAGGGUAUCUACUUUGUGGCAACUUUUAUUAUUUUUAUUUUUAUUUUUUUGUGGUUUCAUGAAUUCUCUGCUUGCUAGUCGUACUACUUCGGCUUGUUUCUUCUGUUUUUGUCAUUUUUAUGAACUGUAUUGUGUAUUCACAUCUUUUUUGCAUACGAACUAUGUAUGUAGGAUAUUAUUUUCUGUUUGCUAGUCGUACUACUUCGGCUUGUUUCUUCUGUUUUUGUCAUUUUUAUGAACUGUAUUGUGUAUUCACAUCUUUUUUGCAUACGAACUAUGUAUGUAGGAUAUUAUUUUCUUAAGCAAUUAUUCCCUUGCCUACUGGGUGAAAAAUAUAUAUUGCGUUGGCUGUUGUUUGUAAUGUCGUGGUUCGUACUUUAAUUUCUGAAUUGACUUUUUUUUAUCGUACAGGGUGGUGCAAUGGAAUCAUUUGAGAUGACAUCGACCACUUUGCCUGAAUCCCAUUUGUAUCAUAAUCAUUCUCCUGCUACCAAGGUAUCUUCAAUUUCUACCACAAAUGAAAAUAAGGGAGUUAAUAUUAACAGAUCUCAUGAGGUUCCUGGGAAAUCCAGUACAGAUGGAACAGCUUCAGACGCUGGAAAGCUUGGGGGCUUGUCUCGUGAUGCUUUAGAUAAAGCAAAAAGAGCUCUUAAGAUGCAGAAGGAGCUUGCAGAAAAGCUUAGGAAGAUCCCUUUGGUGAGUAGCUAUGAAUCUUGCCAUGUGUUUAGUUUACGGUUUUCAUAGAAUAUAUCGUAUUUUAUGUUUUUCUGCACUGUCAAAGCAUUCAACGACAAUACAUGUUUGGUGCAUUUUGGAGACUUGUUCAUUGAAUAGGAAUUGGUUGAAUUAAUAGAUUAGUAAUGAAAGGAUUAUGUGAGUCCUGAAUUACAUGACAUUGUCAAUUUUAAUUAGGAUGGUUUAAAAAGUGGACCACAGAAGUGAGUGCUGUUCUCUUGAUAAUUCAGAGGUUUCUCUCUCUCACACACACAGAGGCACACAAAUAUAAUUUAAAAGGUUUACAAACAGUUGCGAGAGAGGGCAGGAAAGGUGUCAUUCUUGGCUAUAAAAGAAUUCAUAUAAUCUACUGAUGUUUAUUGGGUAUCGGCUUUAAACAAUUUCAAUUUCUUUAUGUAGUUAAACAAGGCUACUGGGGCAACUAGAGAGAGUACUCCGCAGUUGGGACCAAAUGAGGGUCACAUAGCUCCUUCUAGUAGUUCAGGAAUACUUCCAACUCCUGCUGCAUCGGUAAGAUCUUCUAGCAUGGUAACAUCUGGAGCAACGCCGAAUGCUUCAACUUUACCUGCUGCUGCAGCUGCUUCAAUUGGUUUGCCUCAUCUUCCUGGACUCAAUCAUGAGAGAUUUGAAGCUGUUAAAAAAGCCCAAGAGCUUGCUGCUAAAAUGGGAUUUCGACAGGAUCCAGAAUUUGCUCCUCUUAUUAAUAUGUUCCCUGGACAGAUGCCACCAGAGGUUUCAAUCCAGCCAAAGCCUGCCAAAGCACCCGUGCUACGUUUGGAUGCUUUGGGAAGGGAAAUAGAUGAACAUGGGAAUGUAGUUAAUGUGCCUAAAGUAAAUAGUUUGAGUACACUGAAGGUAUGUUAUGUGCUCCGAUCUUGGGUGAUGAUCACUUGUCAGUUCUUUUAUUUUUGAUUUAACACCGAAUCCUUAAAAGGUUUCUGCAUUUAAUCUAUGCAAUUUGGGUCUUUCCAGGUCAACAUCAACAAGCAGAAAAAAGAAGCUUUCCAGAUUCUGAAACCUGAGUUGGAAGUUGAUCCUGAGAAAAAUCCUCAUUUUGAUCCAAGUAUGGGUAUUAACAAAAAUAAGAUUUUGAGGCCCAAGAGAAUGACUUUCCAGUUUGUGGAGGAAGGCAAAUGGUCGAAAGAUGCAGAGAUAAUUAAGUUAAAGGUAAUCCUUCUUAGCUGCCUGGCUUGUUUCUGUUGUUAAUUUCCUCCAUGAGUUUGAAUCGAGUUCUCAUUCUUUUUGUGAUUUGAUGUUGUAGAGUCAAUUUGGAGAAGCUCGAGCAAAAGAGUUGAAGGCAAAGCAAGCACAGUUGGCUAAGGCCAAGGCUGAGCCUGAUAUAAAUCCUAAUCUGAUUGAAGUGUCAGAGAGGGUGAUAAUCAAGGAGAAGCAGAAAGAAACUAUUCCAGAAACUGAGUGGUGGUGAGUUGAAAGUUCUGACUGCAUGACUUCGAUACCUUCUAAAAUCUUGUUUUUGUUGGUACCGUUUUUCCUAAUUGGAAAAAUAGGAUUUGCUGGUAUUUUUAUUGUGGAGUUUGGUUAUUUUGUACUCUGUUUUUUGACUUUGGGGCUUUUUUCUGCCUCACCAUUUUUGUAUCCAGCAUGUAUUAGUUGGUUCGAAUUUUGAGGUACUUAAUACGCCUAGAGGAGCUGAACUAUGUGGAAAUUUUACAUUUUCUUUUUUAAAGUCAUAAGCUUCAAUGAUGGUGGUGAUGCAGAAUAACUGUUCUAUAAAUUUCUUCAUCUCUGCGUACAAUUACCUAGAAAAGGAAAAUCAGUAGUUGGAACCUCUUAAAGACAUUGAAUUUUUUUUUUGGGGUGGGAAUCCGCUGGGGGAAUAAUGCUACCUUCCUUUUGUUUUAUUUGCAUAUCUGAAGGUGGUUGGAAAUGGGCAUUCCAACUGUAUCAAUUCUGUAUAAAUAUCAGAGAAAGAAUUAAUAUACUGGGAAAAAUUGCAACUUCAGGUUGUUUGCUUCUUUUUGUUCUGGUUUUGUUAUGUUGUUAGAGUUCUUAUCUUUCAUCUUUGCCUCAUGCUGAAAUUGCUUGCUUAAAUUGCUAGGGAUGUGCCUAUUCUACAGUCUGGUAGUUAUGGCCACACCAGUGAUGGUAACUUACCAAUGGAGAAACUCAAAAUGGAGAAAAUCACCAUCUACGUUGAACACCCUCGUCCAAUUGAGCCUCCUGCUGAACCAACACCGCCCCCACCUCAACCUUUAAAGCUAACAAAGAAGGAGCAGAAGAAACUUCGCACCCAGCGGCGUCUGGCAAGGGAGAAAGAUAAACAGGAGAUGAUUAGGCAAGGCCUCCUAGAGCCUCCAAAACCGAAAGUUAAAAUGAGCAAUCUCAUGAAAGUUCUAGGAUCGGAAGCUACCCAAGAUCCUACCAAACUUGAAAUGGAAAUCAGAAGUGCUGCAGCUGAGCGCGAACAAGCUCAUAUCGACAGAAACAUUGCACGUAAACUCACUCCUGCUGAGCGUCGUGAAAAGAAAGAGAGGAAGCUUUUUGAUGACCCAGAUAAGGCAGAGAUAAUAGUCUCUGUUUACAAAGUUAAUUAUCUGUCACAUCCACAAGCUCGUUUUAAGGUUGAUGCUAAUGCUCAUGAGAACCGAUUGACUGGAUGUGCUGUAAUUUCUGAUGGUAUCAGUGUUGUGGUCGUGGAAGGUUGCCCCAAAUCAAUCAAGAGAUAUGGGAAGCUUAUGCUAAGGCGCAUAGAUUGGGCAGCAGCGGUGAAAAAUGAAGGGGAAGAUGAAGAUGAAGACGAUGGUGAAACACCUGCUAACAAGUGCAUGUUGGUGUGGCAAGGUAGUGUUGUUAAACCAAGUUUUAAUAGGUUUUCUAUUCAUGAAUGCCGGACUGAGGCUGCAGCUCGCAAGAUUUUUUCUGAUGCUGGGGUUUCUCACUAUUGGGAUCUCGCGGUGAACUUCACAGAGGAUCAAAUUUAAUCUGAGGGUCUCUUUUUGGCUAGUUGAUGGUUCCAUUCUUGGUUCUCUCUUAUUGUCUGAGUUGAGCUGUUUACUAGGAUUGUGUCCUUUAAUUGCACAGGAUUGAGCUUAACUAGCGGUGACAUGCAGAGUUAUUAUGCCAAGUUUAAUGAUGUUUGGUGACUUAUAGACGAUUAAGCCUUGCUGGUAGUUGUAUUUCUCUUGCAAUAUCUUGUUUGUUCUAUUAUGGAAGUAUCAUUGUUGAAAAUACAUGAUUUGGAUGCAUUAUUUUUGGGGGGAAGGUUACAUUAAUGUUGCUUUUGGUUGCCUAUCUGCCCACGUCCAUUGAAUGUACAAUUUAAUAUUUGUGCGUUUUGUCAGUCUGAUCUCUUCUAGCAUUCAAUUUUGCUUGUCACUGUUUCCCCCCCAUUAUUCCUGUGAAUCUUUGAAACUUGUAAAUAGGCAGAAUUUCUUCAGUAUUCCAGUCGGAGUAGGUGCCAUUAUACAGCGGGGAAGCCUUAAUCAAUAGGAGUGUUGUGCAUGUGCAUGCUUUCGUCCAAGCGCACGUCUUUUGCUGAUUUUGGGAAAGGGCGUAGCAGUUACGCAAAAUCUUCUGUUAGUAUUUUGUAGUAUCUUGUCUACUCGUUAUUACUUAAUGACAACUGCAAUGUUACUGCUGGGAGAGAGGAUGAAAAUGAGGGAGUUCUUGUGCUUGGGUUUAUCACGGUUUCUUGCUGGCAAGGUAAAAGGAGGAGCAUGAUUCAUGUGGAAUGAAUUCCCUUGACGAAUGUUGGUAUGUUUGUAUUGUAUGGGCCAGUGAAGGACCUACCGGUGAUCUUUCUAGGCCAAGGAGAAGUACCUUUGUGGCCGAGUGGAAGUUUUUUGUUGUGGUAGAGCAAGUGGUCCUUGAAUGGGAUUCAAUUCUUUUGGUCGGUGUUGUUUUAACUUACGGGCUGUCCAAAAGCCUAAAAUUACUGUUGUGAAAAGCUCCUUGGAUCAACGACUGAUUCCAUUAGUUAUUCGGGGAAAGGGGAAAAAGAAAGGUUUUAUUUAGUCAUUAUCUUACAAAUUGAAUGAGGUAUUUCACGAAUUUCAUUGUCAAAGUCCUAUCAUACGUAAAAGCUUCACAUGAUGUGAAUAGACAUUGCAUCACAAGAAACAGCAAUGGUUUUUUUGGAGCAAAUGUUUUGGGCAAAUGCACGGUCGUCGUUUAAAAAUAUUCACUGCAAUAUGCAGUUACGUUUCGAGUUAGGAUGAAGGGUGUGUGUUUUGAGGCCCCCUUUUCCCUUUCACUGAAAUCUGAAUUCAUAUGGCAUCGAGAUGGUAGGCUCCAAGAGUUCCAAUUCUGCCUGCAUGUGCAACAAAGAAUUCACCGGAUAAACGAAAGUAGCUUCUCUCGGUCUGUUACAUUCGAGGGAAUCAACAUUCCUUUCCUCUUGUCAGAGUUUGAGAAGACAAAUUACUCCUGAACGAAUGAAAAGGCAAACAGAUGUUUCUAUUGCAUGGUGGGAUUAAUCUUAUGCGACAAUCAACUUUUAAACAGUAACGAGUUUAGGGUGAACUUUUUUACAUAUCAAUAAUCUUUGUCCAGUUAAAGUUUGUAUAGUCGCAAUUUAUGCCGACCUGAGUUUUGCCAUUAAGUCAAAAUUUAUGAUUGCCUGGUGAAUUAACGCACGGGCACUCAAUACUCAAAUUUUAGAUAAUUACAGAUUGGCAAAAGGAUAACAUUUUGAGCUCCAAAAACUCGUCGUCAAAGUGAGAAACUCCCAUAUGGGUUUUGUUGGAGAAAGAAAAAACAAAGAAGCACCCCCAAGAAAAUGGGAGACUUCGACCCAAGGAGUCGAAUUUGUGAUCAGGUACAGCCAUUCCCACUUCCCAGUCCUUGAUUGCUUAUUUGCUCAAGGCUCAAGCAAGCACAAUUCAUGACCUUCAAUUCUUCUAGAUUGACUUGGGUUUUAGAUGCCGUUUGCUUUGCAGGUGAGUUAGCUAGCAAUUUGGUAGGACCUGACCAGGCCAGACCGCCCUGCAGUCUAUAAUAUCUGCAUUAACCGCCGACCUUUUACGUACCAAAAAGUGCAGAAGGAAGAAAAUUCAAUAACUUUGUAGUGCUGGCCUUUAGUUCUUCAUGCUUCCUUAGUCAUAAUUAAUCGUUAUUCUGAUUUCUUAGACUGUAUUAAAUGCAGACAAUUAAAUUAGCACCGUAUAGCACGAUGAACUCACCCCCAAAGUAUAAAAACAGACUGAUCCUAGUACUGCUCCCCAAAAUGCUGGCAGAUUGUGAAAUGCCGGGUUAAGUUGAUUUUUGUGUAUCACUUGCUAAGUAAUUUACUGGUCCUAUUUGCGUUAAGGGAUCAAAGAAAGAGUUUAAUUUUAGUGUAAGCUCCUCGUAAGAUUACCUAUGAACUCUAGCGCGAGACUUUAGUUCCUGAAACUAUUUUCGGGUAUCGGAAUUUUCAAGCUCAACUUGAGAGAGGGAGAGUUGGACUAACAUUAUCUUUUCACUAAUCAAAAGCUCUCUUUUACUUCAUUUAAAUCAGAGGCAACUUUCAGUUCAUACUUAAUGUCGUUGAUAUUGAGUCAGGAUGUAUUUGAAUGAGGUAGAAAUACAUGUCGAUGUCUAUACAGAAAAUCUUGGUGUGGGCUUUACCACUUUCUGCAUUUGAUUGAAGUAGAUUUUCCUGUUACUGUUAUUUUCUUUAAACUUCUGGUCAGUUCAUCUAAUGCAAAAUUUCUCAGAUAGAGACAGUGUCAAAGUUUGUGCCUAAUUGUUUGGAUGAUGUCAAAGUUUGUGUCCUAAAAGAACUCUUAACAACUAAAGCAUAGUUCAGGCAGCACAGGCAUUUGUCACGUAGCAGUGUAGAAUUGGUAAAACUUAAUUAUAUCCAUAAGAGGGGUAUUAAAUGUAUUAAUUUGCAAAACAAAAGCAAGUAGGAAACUGCUAAAUUUGGGCAACUGCUAUUUUGGCAAUGAAAGGGUGGGAUACUUUGCAGUUUCUAUGGGUAACUUGUAAGAUACUAAAAAGCAACUUUUUGAUGGAUAAAGAUAUACUGUAACAAAGAAGUUAAAUCAGAUAAUCUAUGGUUUAGGUAUUUGGUUAUUCACAAAAGCCAUUGACUUGCAGUUUGUUGAUUACUUGCCGUUUUUAAGUUAGGCUAAUUAAGUUAAUUGGAUCGGCUGUCAGAUUAUCAAAAGAUGCCAAAAAAAAAUCUGCAACUUGUAAGUGUAUGAUAAAAAAAAUACAGAGAUUCUAUUUUUUAAAAAAAAAAAUUUUCCAACAAGGAAAGAGAGAUAGGAUUUAAAAGUGGGAGGGGGAAGGAGAUUGAAGUUCAGGACUUCUAAAUUCUGAGGUUUCAACCUAUAUAGAGAUUCUAACUAUAAAAGAUAUAUUCAAAUUCUCUUUAUUUUUUUUGGUAAAACUUCCAAAUUCUACUUCUCAAGAGGUUCUUUUUAUACGAUAAGGGGUCUCAUAAGUUGAAUUUUGCUUAAUUCGAAUCAAUUUCUGUAACUUUUAUAACUUUUAGGGUCCGUUUGUUUCGGGUGAAAAUGUUUUCCAGGAAAAUAUUUUCCUAAUUUUCUAUGUUUGGUUGCACAAAAGUUACUGAAAACAUUUUCCUAUGUAAAAUAUUUUCACUCAUCUUAUGGAAAACAACUUCCCUUCCAGACUUACUGAAGUUGUUUUCCGAAAUGCAUGCAUCCCGCCUGUAGUAUGUUCCAAACUUACUGAAAACAUCUUGUAGUAUGUUUUUUUUUUUUUUAGUGUAAACAGGAGAACUCGAACCCAAGACCUCUUUCUUACACUCCCUCCCCCGUACCACCCAACCCUCCCCCUAGUAUAUUCAAAAUAAAAAAAAACCUCAUCCUGCUCAUCCUAUGCUAGUAAUUAAUUAUGUAUAAUAGGGACAUUCUUUUCUAGAGAAACUUUCAGUAGUGAAAGUGCAAGAUAUAUGUCACAAUAAGCAUUGCAUGUGAUUGAUAUUUGACACUAAAUGGCCAGCAAUUUGUUUAUUACUUAAGGAGAUAUUUUUUAUUCAUAUAUACCUUUCUCCAAGAUUUUUUAAAGUUAAACAAUGAGAUAAAUUUUCUUAUUUUGCAUGGGAAGAAGUAUGUAGUUAUAAUGUGUAGAAAGUAAAGAUAGAGAUAAAAGUGAAAAUAUUUCAAAAGUUAAACAAACACCAGAAAAUGAAGUAAGAAAAUAUUUUCAAUAAGCUAACCAAACACCUGAAAAUGAUGAAAGGGAAAUGAUUUUCAUGGAAAAUUACUUCCAUGGAAAAUAUUUUCCCAAGGAAAACAUUUUACUUCCAACCAAACAGACCCUUAAUGUAAAUUCGUAUAAUUUGAGAUUAAAUUUAAAUUUAUCAACUCAUACAACUAAACUUAUAAUUACACUAAAACUCUACGCACUAAAUAUAAUAAAAAUUACAUGAUUUGGUUUGAAUUGGAUGGAAUUCAACUUAUGAGGCCUUUAAUCCCCUUUUUAUAUUUCACCAAAUGCCAACAGGGACUCGUAAUAUCCAGAAAUGCCCCUAGUACUCAAGAACAUUUCAAACUUUACAACUAAUAUCUUAUGAAGUAAUAUCAAUCUUACAAUUUUUUUUAAUUGCUUUUCUUUUCUAAAUUUUUACUAGUUCAGAUAGCAGAAAAGCGUGCGCGCGCACACAUAUAUAUAUAUAUAUAUAUAUAUGUUUUGUUUGCGUAAAUCCAUUCUGAUAGCACUUCAAAGAAAGGAAGGAGUAAGAACAAGAUUCAUCAAAGCUAGACAUGAUCAGGUAACCUUCAUUCUAGAAUCGAGCUUAUCUUUAAGCCUUCACUUUAAAAUCGAGCUUAACUUUAACCAAGCUUGGAGAUUUUACUGGCUAUGGCUAUUACUUUUAGUUUAGGUAGAACUUUGUUAAACUCGCUUUGCAAGACACAUUUGUUAUGAUUCUUGGCUUCUAUGAUACGGGACAAAAAUGAAACUUUUAAUACAAUAUGUACAGGGAAAAAAAGAAAAUCGUUGGUCCCCGUAACCUUGUCCAAUGGAAAACAAAAGAAUUACCAUAUCAUUGUUAUCUCAAGUACAUGUACAUUUUUUUUCCCCUCUCUCUCUAUCUUUUGAAUAAAUUAACAACUGCAAGUAGAGUUAGAUUUCAUGUUGAACGGAUUUUGUUCCAUAUGAUAUAAUCCACAAAUUUGGGAAGAUAAAUAUGAUAUUUCUAGUCUUUCAUAAACUGAAACAAGAAAAAUAAAAGACGUGCGAAAGAACUCUGAGCAGAUAACAAAAAUCAAUUAGUGUUUUUUUUUUUGUUUGGAAAACUAUAAACAUCACUUAAAUCGUUUUGUUUGUGAAGAGUUGUUACAUUACGUGCUGAGAAAAGAAAUAAAUGGGAAUUGAACUCUUGGACUGGUCGGACCAUUAAUUAAUGGCUAUAUAACUUCAACCAUAAGACUUUGACCUUGGUUUUUGUCCAAAUGCAUGGUUUUGGUUUCACUUCUAAAAUAUUUGCGUCCUUUUGAUGAAAAUGAAAUCAGUCGCCCUCCUUCGUUGAUUAUUCCGGUUUAAUACGGUCCAGAGUUCGCCAACAAUUUUGAUUAACCGAUGCAACUGUUUCCAAACUUAAAAAUUUUCAAAACAUUUUGCGUUAAACUUCAAAUCCUCCAUACUUAUCAUUGCCUAUUGACGUUCAAGAAAGCUCUUUUGAAAAAUUUAGUUUUGGCAACUUUAUUUAUUGUAAUUUCUAAUCCACCGGAUAUGAGGGGAAUGAUAUAUAGGCGCUAUUAAAGCUUCUUCCACAUAUCUAUUAUGUGUUUUUUUUUUGGGGCCGUAUUUAAGCUUGUUAUUUUUUACCUAAAAAACAGUUCCGAGUGUGUCGGAAGAAACCCUCUGAAGUGAACCAGUACCUUUUCCGUUAAAUGCUAAUUAUAUAUAUAUAUGUAUUACCUUCUAAUUAUUGUAUUUUUUUUUAAAAUUUUUUUUCUAAUUGGGAAAGGGUAGAAUUUAUAAAAAUAAAAUAAAUAUUACUUAACGUGUUUGGACUCCUGAAUCCUUGUCAAAAAAGGAAAGUAAAAAAAAAAAAAAAAGGUUCUGGAUUGUUACCUCGUCUAGAAGAAAUUGCAUAGCACACAAUAAUAUUAAUAUUAAUAUUAAUUUUGUGAACAUAUAUAUGUUCAUUGCUUGUAACUUGGAGACCAAACUCCUCAGUAAAUCUAUACAUUUCUAUAGCAAACUCCAAACAGUAGAUUACCAUCCACACCUACCUUCUAUGACACCAAAGGCAGCAUGGAUGGCAUCAUAAACAAAGAAAACAAUCCCCAAAUCCCACGUGGCAUCACCCCACCAAAUAGUAACCCUCCACGUACCCCACCCCCAAACUCCCUCCCUCCUGUAAAACCAGACGUGUAGAUGAAAGAUUAGGAGAUUUAGGUCACCUCACCCAUCCCACCCUCCCUCUCCCCACCCACAAACCCCUAACCCUAUCCACAAGAAACAAUUGAAUUCUACCUCCAUUCCUCCUUCAAGUAAAGUAAACUAGUAAUUUAUUCUUCCAAAUUUUCCUCAAAUCCCAACUAUAAAUCCACAGCACACCUGUUGACACAAAUCAAGUCUACUCUACUCUCCAAACGUACGUAUAAGUAAGCAACCCCAUAAAUGCAUUUCCUACGUACCCCAACGCAGCCAUACAACUCAUUAAGAAAAGUUGGCUAAACCUUCAAAAAAGAAGGAAAAAAAAAAACACGCAGUCACACACUAGCCAUUUUCUUAGGACAGUUUCUUAGCAGUACUGCUCAUUUUCCUUUCUCACUUGCCAGUUUGCCUACUUAUACUCCAUAAUGACGACCACCCAUCAAUCUUAGACAGCUCAAACAUUUCUUCUAUUCAUCCCAUAUGUUUUCGCCUUCUCUAUAAUUGCUUCCCCAUAUUUAUAUUUAUAUAUAUAUAUAUAGCUCGCUCUCUUUUACUCUCAGCGAAUACAUAUAUAUAUAUACAGGGGAACUCUAUAUCUAUUGCUAAAUGUUAAGAGAAAAAAUGUCGAAAAUAGUUGCGGAAAACAUAUCGCCCGUAAGAGACUGCAUGCCGACGUUUGAUCGGAGGCAGACCGUGCAGAUGACCGCUGCGGGCGCGUCUCCUUCGCCUACGCUUGGACAACUUCUGAAGCGCGUCGGCGAUGCUCGCAAGGAAGCCACCGGUGACGAGACGCCCGUGCACCAGGUUCUCGACCUCAGCGACCCGGGCAUGGAGCCCCGAUCACUUCCCUUCGUGCUCUCCUUCACUAACCUGACCUACAGCGUCAAAAUCAGCCGGAAAAUGGGCCUGCCUGCUAUAUUCAGCCGCAGCCGCCACCAUCUUCCUGCCACCACGACUGCAACCGAGCCUACUGACGGAGAGACCCUCUUCACGAAGACCAAAGUGCUCCUGAACGACAUCUCCGGCGAGGCGCGUGACGGCGAAAUCAUGGCGGUGCUCGGCGCGUCUGGAUCUGGAAAAUCAACUCUCAUCGAUGCAUUGGCCAAUCGCAUAGCCAAGGAGAGUUUGAAAGGAACCAUCACUCUCAACGGCGAGCAGUUGGAGUCGAGGCUGCUCAAGGUCAUUUCUGCUUACGUCAUGCAGGACGAUCUCCUCUACCCCAUGCUCACCGUCGAGGAAACCUUGAUGUUCGCGGCCGAGUUUCGCCUCCCACGAACGCUCUCGAAAUCCAAGAAGCAAAUGAGAGUUCAGGCCUUAAUUGAUCAACUAGGCCUCCGAAACGCCGCCAAGACGGUGAUCGGAGACGAAGGCCACCGCGGCGUUUCUGGCGGGGAGCGGAGGAGAGUCUCCAUCGGAAUAGACAUCAUUCAUGAUCCUAUAAUCCUCUUCCUGGACGAGCCGACCUCGGGGCUGGACUCCACCAGUGCAUUCAUGGUGGUGAAAGUUUUGCAGAGGAUUGCUCAGAGCGGAAGUAUCGUCAUCAUGUCUAUUCAUCAGCCGAGCUAUCGAAUUCUCGGCCUGUUGGACAGGCUGAUCUUUCUGUCCCGCGGGCACACUGUUUACAGCGGUCCUCCAACUAAUCUGCCGCAAUUUUUUUCUGAUUUCGGCCAUCCGAUUCCUGAAAAUGAGAAUCGGACUGAAUUUGCACUUGAUCUGAUUCGCGAGCUCGAGGGCUCCCCAGGAGGGACUAGAAGUUUGGUUGAAUUCAACAGAACGUGGCAAAAUAUGAAGAGAGGUACUAAUACUGCUGGUACGGGAAAUGUGGAAUCAUCUCCAACGCAUGGAUUGUCAUUGAAGGAAGCUAUAAGUGCCAGUAUUUCGAGGGGAAAAUUGGUGUCAGGUGCUACAAACACUGAUGCUAGUCCAACUUCCAUGGUUCCUAGAUAUGCAAAUCCAUUUUGGAUUGAAAUGGCAGUUUUAUCAAAAAGAUCAUUCACCAACUCGCGGCGGAUGCCGGAGCUCUUUGGCAUUAGGUGCGGAGCAGUUAUGGUGACGGGGUUCAUUUUGGCUACCAUGUUUUGGCGAUUGGACAACUCUCCCAAAGGGAUUCAAGAAAGGCUAGGGUUUUUCGCCUUCGCCAUGUCUACGACCUUCUAUACUUGCGCCGAUGCACUGCCAGUUUUCCUUCAGGAGAGGUACAUUUUCAUGAGGGAAACUGCUCACAACGCUUAUAGAAGGAUCUCCUAUUGUCUCUCUCACGCAUUGGUUUCCUUGCCUGCCCUUAUUUUCCUCUCAUUUGCAUUUGCUGCAAUUACCUUUUGGUCGGUGGGGCUGGACGGAGGGACUUCGGGGUUCUUUUUCUACUUCGCUAUAAUCUUGGCUUCCUUCUGGGCCGGCAAUUCCUUCGUCACAUUCCUGUCCGGAGUGGUCCCUCAUGUGAUGCUUGGCUACACCAUUGUGGUGGCAAUAUUAGCAUAUUUCCUCCUCUUCAGCGGCUUCUUCAUUAACCGGGACAGAAUCCCCCCUUACUGGAUAUGGUUCCACUACAUUUCCCUGGUGAAAUAUCCAUACGAAGCCGUUUUGCAGAACGAAUUCGACGAUCCGGCGAAAUGUUUCGUGAGGGGGAUCCAGAUAUUCGACAGCACCCCGCUGGGAGCCGUGCCGGAUUCGCUGAAGAUAAAGCUGCUGGCGAGCAUGAGCAACACCCUUGGCGUGAAAAUCACGAGCUCCACGUGCGUGACCACCGGCGUGGACAUAUUGAAGCAGCAAGGAGUCACUGAUCUCACCAAGUGGGCUUGCCUUUGGAUCACCAUUGCAUGGGGAUUCUUCUUUAGGAUUCUGUUUUUCUUCUCUUUGUUACUGGGAAGCAAGAACAAGAGGCGGUAAGUUCCAAAAUCCAAACGGCUACUAACGAUCCAAGAAAAUUGUAAAACUUGGUAUGGCGGGAAAUUUGCUAUCUUGUAUUUUUGGAUAUUUUUUUUUGUUUUUGAAAAUUUUUUUUUGGGGCUUUUUGUGGAAUGCACUCUAGUGGGUUUUCUUACUUUUGGUAGUUCUUUUUUUUUUUUUUUUAACUCUAAUCCAUGGAACUUGUUAGCUGUAAAACAGUUGGAAGAUGUUAUAAUAUACACAUACUAGAAUAAUUUCCUCAAUUUGGACUUUGGAUGGAUGUUGGUCAGCCUACGUUUUUGGCUCAACAAUGCAUGUGUUGGUGACCUACAUCUUCAACGGUAUACUAUUAGCACAUAGCUUUUGGUUACGUUAGGUCUCAAAAUUUUGUUGACCUAAUGACUCUUUCAAUAGAUAUGAUGAAUGAAUGAAUGAUGGUAGGCAGGUGGAUAGGAAACACACGUUCUGCAUGAAUGAAUUUGGCAUAGAUCUUUUUUGGCUUUUUGGGUACAAAAGAAAUUGAUGGUUGCAUUCAUGCUUCAUACACAACUGGUGUUGAAGAACCUACUUUCAACUCUUGAGUUUGCUGAUCUCAUAAAUUGUUGAAGUGGUAGCUGCACUUUAACUGAUGAGUUAGCUGGGGCAAUGGCAGGCAGAGUAAAUUCUCUUUGUACUUGUAAAUGACACCAUAACAAAAAAAAAAAAAAAAAAAAAACAAAAAGUAAUCCUAGUUUCCUGUUCGAAUUAAAGGAAUUACAAUACACACUUCAUAUCGUUUUGUGAUCUGCUUCGGGUUGUCUAAUUUGGAAUUAAUCUUUCACAUGCGAUAAUUAAGGAAUAAUAUUUCGUUUGACAGAAGAAAUCAGUGCUGUGGGAAAAUGAAACCAUAACAGGUUGCUUAUAAUUGACGUCUAAAUUAUGUUUCUGUUAUACCAUUCCCCGAUUUUGAGCUAUUAUGUGAACUAAAUUACGUAACAAGCAUAUUCACGUAGGCUCGAGUACGCACAACGCAUUUUUUUUUUUUUUUACAAGGAAGGGGUGGCAUUUAAGACGCCGAGAAGAAUAGGGGAUUGGAAUUUAUAACCAUUAUGUUUGAGAUUUCAAUUUUAAUCAUUAGAUCAAGACUUCCUCGUUAUAUGAACAAUGCAUAUGUAGCAAACGAAGUUGAUUUUCCAUUUCUUGAUUUUUUCCAAGGUAAUGUGACUUUGGAUUUUAGAUGAUUGGCAUGUUUAGAUUUGAUCUCUAGUUUCAAUUUAGACUAUUUUAGAUCCGUUUCCAGAUAAUUGAGGACUAAAUAUGUCGAUGCUAAAAAUUUGACUAAAUCUUUGGCAAUCCUGGCAUUUUGAGAAAUUUUAUCUCCAUUAGUUUAGCCUUUUGGCUUUGGAUUUUCUAUUAUACACUUCUUAUCCCACACCUUUAGUUUGACCCAUAUCCCUGCACUUGAGGUGAGUGAAGAUUUAUUUAUGUAAGGGGAAAAGUACUCACCGGGAUUGUGAAACUUCAGAGGUCCCUUGGAUCACUUUAGAAACUAAACAAAAAUAAAAAAUCUCUUCCUAGCCUCAUCAGCCAGUCACCCGAAAUAUAAAAACAUAAAAAUUAACUAAGAAUGAAAAAUUAUGGUUGUAGAAUAAUAUGAACAUACUGAUCCUAGUUAUUGGGGAAGACAGGAAUAGAAAAUUAGAUUUUGUAGUCCAAAAUAAAUAUAUAUAAGAGAUUCAUAUGAUCAUGAGUAUAUAAUAAAAGAAAAACAGGAUAUUAAACUCCAUAUUAUAUGGAUAACUAGGAUCAUAAAUCUUCGAUCAGAAUAUGUAUAAUGUACUAAUCCUACAAGCAGAUGAGAUUAAGGAGGGUUGAAUGUCAUUGUAAUUUUCGGAUUGUAGCUAUGCCUUGUUUGAAUUGUAGAAAAUUUUUUAUGUUUUUCAUUAAUACAUUUUUUAAUAACCUUUUAUUUUACAUAUAUCAAAUCAUUACAUAUUUUUUUUAAAAACUCUUAAGAAUAGCAAUCCAAACGAAAAUGAAUCAGAGGUCACCUAUAAUUGCUUCAUGUAUCACCUCUAACAGUUUGGCACAAUUAGAACAAAACAUUUAAUGACACUUAUACAGAAGGUUACCAAACGCUAACACAACAUUAAAGGAGAAUGAUUGCGUCAAUCCAAAUAUAGAUGAAGAAAAUUAGGCUUCUGAUUAAUGCUUAUGUUGAAACAAAGUCAAGACGUUCACGUUAAUUCGAACAAACAUUUAAUGACACAUUUUCGAUAAUUUGGCCAAAGACUUUAGACACGAGUGUGUAAGUAGCUAACACUAGUCAUUUGAUCAAAGGUUAUCGAAAAUUCUAAGUUCAAAAUUUCUGGAAAAAUCUUCAAGCUUGAGAAUAGAACUUGACCAAAUAAUUGACAAAUGAAUUAGUAGUAAAAGCCCUUUCAAGGUAGCCGACCUGGUGGUGUAGUCUCUAGUUAGAGCAUCCAUUAGAGUUCGAACCCUGUAACAAAAAUGGGGAAUAACCCAACAACCCAAAUAAGGGUUGGGGCCUGAAGUGGGGCCAGGCCCUUUUAAUUGACAAAAAAAAAAAAAAAAAUUAGUAGUAAAACACUGGCACAGGAGUGCUUGCUAGGUCAAAAAUUUAGAUGGCAUACCAAGACAUUGCAUUGCAGCUGGUAUCUAACACUGCAUAGUUGUGAUCCAUGCCGUGCUUGGAAUCUGUAUUGCACAUUCACAACAAGAUCUUGGAGGGAUUUUUUCAUGUUUAAUCGUAUUUCAUUUCUGCAAGUAAUUGUUUUGAAUAUUCAAGAAUAACUCACAACAAGUUGACUUGUGGAUUAAUUACCGCCUGUCAUAUAUGACCGGACAUAGAAUGUUGUAAAGGGUUUUGUUUGAUUACUGGAUACUGUGGACUUAUAGAGAAUCCAUUUUAGUUUCUUUGGAAAGCACUGUAAUGGAUUAAAAUCAAGGGGUGGAUUAUGUACUGUUCCAAAGGACAUGUUUCAAUUGGCAGCAAUUUGAAUUUUUCCUUGUAGCAUUAGGAAGACCAAAAGUUAAUUUUGGUUAUUUUAUUUACAAUACCCUCCUAGUCUACAAGUAACUGACGGAACACUGGUAACUGCUGACUUUGUUUCUGUAAUUCAAAGCUUGAAUUGCUACAUCAAACCUUUCUUUUAGCUCUGGAAUUGAUUGGGGUAGGAACCGGACCCUAAUUUGGACUUUUUUGAUGCAAGUUUCAACUAAGCAAAACCCAACUUUAUAAGCAACCAAUUUAAAUUUCUUGUAAAAUCUAAAGCAAGCGCAUCACGUCCAAAGUUUGGGUGCAAUUUCGUGUAGGAAUUAGCAAAAUUUCUGCCAACCAAAGCGCUUUCCCUCUUCUUGUACUACCUCUUCUCGUACUACAACUCUUUAUAGAAUUGUAACCCGCAAAGAAAAACCAAAAAUAGUGGAGCUACACUAACCUCCAAUGAGGUUUCUUAUGAUAAUUAUAGGUACCCCAUUUAGAUUUUAGACUCGCUAAUGCAUACAAUGUCAUUGUAAAAAAAAAUCAAUUUAUAAAACUCACACGCUAGAAAAACAUUCAUAAAUUAGGAUUGGUUAAGCUUUAACUCAACUGCUGACCAAUCUAGAUAAUCAAUCACAUUUUACUGCAAAAGGAAAAUGAUUGAAAACAACAGUUGUACUGUAUAAUUGUAGCUUCUUGAGUGAUUAAUAAUGCCAGUUUUAUAAAGCUUUCUGGUGGAUUUCAUGCUGAAGAUUAGGUGGUAAAUAUUUGCUGACCUAUUGUUUAAUUUGCAUGUCAUGGAAGCGCUGAAUGUUUCUAUAGCUGUUUCGUGAACAAGGGAAAAAAUGGCCCGGGAUGGUGAUUUGAGGUUUUGGGAAAAGGACACCUCCGACGGUCCACACCCAGAUUUCAUUUCAGGGUUUGUUCAAGGCUUCAAGCCUCCCAAGUCUCUUCUUUAACCUCAGUUGUGAAGAUUUUUUGUCAAACCCAAAAAGGGGUUAGCCGCGUCGGCCAAAUUCUACAGCAAAAUAAAAAUUUUAAACAAUUAACAAAGUUUCUUUGCAUUUUGGAAUAGAUCCAAGUAUUCAUCCUUAUCAGUAAGAAAAAUCUUUAUUAAAUAUGAAAACUACGAAUGGAUCGUUGACAAAUUCUUUAGGUAUUCAUUUUUCUCGAUCCUUUUGUUCUUGGGAAAACGAAGGGACGAUCAGCUUUGAACCUUGACGUCUUGCCUUAGUGAUUAGAGCAGUGGGGAUUUGACUAUAGUGCCGGUAGCUGUCAUCUGAGUAAUGACGAGUAGUAAAAGAGGUCAAGAGGUAGUUCGACUAAGACUAAAUUCUUGCAACCCGUGCUUUUUGGUUGCUUCCUUCAAUUCGGAAAAUGAUUGAUUACCCAUUCCAUAUAUUUCAAUCCGUCUUAAGUCCCAACUCUCAACUGCAAUUAAUGUAGUCCCAUUCAGCAAAAGGGAAACAAAAACAGACCCAGCAGCAGCUCUACUUUUCUAAGCCGAAAAUUCACCUCAAGUUGCUGAUUGUUAUGCCGCACGAAUCGAUGAUACUUACAAUUUCUCACUUCAUUUAUUAGCUUGAUUGUACUGCCAACUGAACAUAUGGUACAGUUUGCCAACUAUCCCUAAAUAUCAUUAGCUCAUAGCUUUAUUACAAUUUAUACGACGGAAUAAGGGAUUCAUGCAGUAUAUUUAGAUUCACAAUCUAAAUGGAUUAUCGAUAAAUUUGGUACUAGGUCUAGGUAUAUGUACCUGUAUUUGAUUCACAAUCUAACUUGCUAGAAAUUUGGUGGUGUUCGAGACCUACUCUUACUCUGCACUGGGGGCCGGGGGAGAAUCCAAAGGGUCAAGGGAAAAAUUCGGAAACUAAACUACCACUGGUCCAGACAGCUGCAUACUCAUCCGUUGGCGAAAUUAUUGGUUGUUACGAUACUUUGGUUUCGAAACAUGUUACUAACGGAUAUUCUCCUCCUCCGGAACAAACAUACCAUAUUUUUGCAGUCCAUCUCUACCCAUUCUUGCCAAUUCACGAACCGAAAAUUUCUCCAUGUUUUCUAUGUCAGCGAAUUAGAUACUUUGUGAUAAUCUAAUGUAUCAUCAUUCCUCACGUAUGAUUAUUAGUAUAUGAAGGAGCAAUUUGCAAACCAUUAACCUAGGAGAUGCCUAGAUGGCACUGAUUCACAAGUCAUAGCCAUAUUAAUCAUUGUGUUUUUGCAAAAUACAAGGUCCAAAUUCCAACCAUAUAGGAAGGAAUAAACUGCACAAGGUCCAAAUUCUAACCAUAUAGGAAGGAAUAAACUCCAACAUCAUGGCACCAUAAAACUGCUUACGAUUAUUUUUAUUUUUUUUUGGAUUCUUAUCUGGAGAUAAUCUUCCACAAAUAGUAGUAUAUUGGUUUGUUUGAAUAGUGAGUUAUUUGUCAAAAUUUAUUUGUUUUUGCUGCAAGUUCUUAGCUCUGUAGCAUAUGAAUAAAAUGCGAGAGCUAGAGUGAGUUCCAUGGCACCGUAAUUCUGUGAGUCCACAGCUAAUGUAUUGAAGACGAUUCGAGAUGAAAUUAUAUCAAAUAGGAUUAUGUCUGCGUCAUGAUAUACAAGUUUAGAUUGUGAUUUUCUGCCAAAAUUUUUUUUACAUUUCCGUGAACACAUUUUUCAAUCACUUUUUUAUCUCACAUAUAUCAAAUCAAUCAUUUUUUUUACCUCACAUACAUCAAAUCGCUAUAAUACAUUUUCCUACAAAAUGUCGUAAAAAUAGCAGUUCAAACAGGUUUUUAAAGUAAGUCGAGAACAAUGAUGAGCAUACAUAUCCAGUGUGGAGAUGCAGAACACACUGCGCUGCUGCCAACACAAUUGCUUGAGCUUGAACACUAAAACACGAGACCAUGAGGCAUGAUUACUCAUAAUACACCGAUGUGAAGAUCAAUGACAAGGUAACAACGACAUAAUCAGGUCAGGAACCAGAAAUUGUAUUCAUCAAUCCCACACUGAACAAGAUCGAUCAUUUUAAGCGAGGAAUAACGUGCAGUUCAUACUAAUGAGUAAUUGUUCUUUAAGGGUUCUAACAUCAACGGUACACAAGAUAGGCACCUAUAUUAUUCAAGCUGGGUAAUGAAAAUCUCUUUCUUUCUUUCUUUCUUUUUUAAAUACCACAGCCAAUUCAUAUAAAAAUAUACAAGCAGGCGACAGAGAUUUGAAAA
RNAcentral lists this long non-coding RNA (44347 nucleotides) under Coffea arabica (coffee). Its description in RNAcentral is "long non-coding RNA (CARA_LNC001535)". Lineage: Eukaryota; Viridiplantae; Streptophyta; Magnoliopsida; Gentianales; Rubiaceae. The record is from RNAcentral.